RNAcentral lists this ribosomal RNA (430 nucleotides) under Acidobacteriota bacterium. RNAcentral describes it as "Acidobacteria bacterium partial 16S ribosomal RNA". It matches the Rfam family "Bacterial small subunit ribosomal RNA", at positions 355 to 776 of the family's 1533-position model. The record is from RNAcentral. Lineage: Bacteria; Pseudomonadati; Acidobacteriota.
UGGGGAAUAUUGGACAAUGGGCGAAAGCCUGAUCCAGCCAUGCCGCGUGUGUGAAGAAGGCCUUUUGGUUGUAAAGCACUUUAAGCGAGGAGGAGGCUACUUGGAUUAAUACUCUAGGAUAGUGGACGUUACUCGCAGAAUAAGCACCGGCUAACUCUGUGCCAGCAGCCGCGGUAAUACAGAGGGUGCGAGCGUUAAUCGGAUUUACUGGGCGUAAAGCGUGCGUAGGCGGCUUCUUAAGUCGGAUGUGAAAUCCCUGAGCUUAACUUAGGAAUUGCAUUCGAUACUGGGAAGCUAGAGUAUGGGAGAGGAUGGUAGAAUUCCAGGUGUAGCGUUGAAAUGCGUAGAGAUCUGGAGGAAUACCGAUGGCGAAGGCAGCCAUCUGGCCUAAUACUGACGCUGAGGUACGAAAGCAUGGGGAGCAAACAGG